UACGGUGCGUCUCAGUGUAAGGAUGCGCUGUAGCUAACAUCGUGAUGAGUAUUGCAACAAUAUCUAAUUAUAACGGACUUAUUCAACGACUGGCAAGCAUGCGACUUCCACUGUUCAAGAGGAUUUAGAUUCAGUCUGCUUUGAUCUGCAACACACCGUCCUCCCUCUUGUGGCGCGAAACAUUUGCGACUGUCACGUGACUCGACGUCUGCGUCGCAAUACUUCAUCAGAAGCCGUUAGCUGGGAGGCAGGCAGUGAAAAAGAUUCAGACUAAAAUGGACUUGGUGAGACUGCCUGAAGAAUUAAAAAUAGUAAAAGAAGAAAGAAGCCAACGAAAUAUAGAAAGACGCUCCAAAACUCAACAGUUUGUACAGACACCACAAAGUGAUUGUGUCUUGAGAUCAGUUGGUGGUGACUUUCUGGAAAAAAAGAUGGCUUUAAGGUAAUGGAUCAUGGUUUCCUAUUGGUUAAUCUUCUGCCUGAUCCUGUCAUGGUCAAAUCUUCCUGGCAUCUAAGAUGUAGUCUACUUGACACAAAUGCGCUGCAAACUACCGUCUGGUGAAGGCUGGCAGUCAAGCCCCCCAAGUUCGUUUGUCCAAGGGACAUAAUUUCAUGUCGAUGCCCUUCCACACUGUAUUUCAGGGGAGCCUAUUUGAGCGGCAGUUAAUUUUUCCUUCUUCCCCAGAUAGAUUUGCUCGUUAAAAGUAAGUAUUGGUAAAUGAUUGGUAGUUAGCUUUUUGCAAAUUCCGAGAAAGUUACUUUAUUUGAAUACCUCUUUUUUACAUGUAUGGAUUGUUUUUGUAAAUAUAUUGAAAUAUUUGUGCUCAUUUAUGCAACCUGGGUUGUGUUGUAUGCCCUUAGGAAAGGGUAUUUUACAGUUCUUACUGGGAUUGAGGGUGUACUGUUCACGCAGUACAUAUACUAAAAUUGGAACGAUACAGAGAAGAUUAGCAUGGCCCCUGCGCAAGGAUGACACGCAAAUUCGUGAAGCGUUCCAUAUUUUUUUUUAAAUCGCUACUUUUUUCUCCGAAUGUUUAAUAUGCAGGAAAUAUUUUGAAAUAGGCUUCCGAGCUUGUAGCUUGGCAAAUUAAGGGUAUGUGCGCCACAUGCUUCCAUUGAAAUGAAUGCAGAAGUAUCUUGGACUCCACAAAGAGAACAAGACUGAAAAAAAUGUGAUUUGUUAAGAAUGUUAGCCAUCCAUUAAAUGCCUAUGUGUGCUGUCAUA
Molecule: long non-coding RNA, 1225 nt
Organism: Pomacea canaliculata
Lineage: Eukaryota; Metazoa; Mollusca; Gastropoda; Architaenioglossa; Ampullariidae
Exons: 4
Source: RefSeq, a predicted model, not a curated record